CUAACAGAGUGGUCUCAGCCACCAGACAGAGGUUCACUACUAACAGAGUGGUCUCAGCCACCAGAGGUUCACUACUAACAGAGUGGUCUCAGCCACCAGACAGAGGUUCACUACUAACAGAGUGGUCUCAGCCACCAGAGGUUCACUACUAACAGAGUGGUCUCAGCCACCAGACAGAGGUUCACUACUAACAGAGUGGUCUCAGCCACCAGAGGUUCACUACUAACAGAGUGGUCUCAGCUACCAGAGGUUUACUACUAACAGAGUGGUCUCAGCCACCAGAGGUUUACUACUAACAGAGUGGUCUCAGCCACCAGAGGUUCA
Long non-coding RNA from Oncorhynchus keta (chum salmon), 324 nucleotides. RefSeq lists it as uncharacterized. The transcript has 3 exons. NCBI's taxonomy places the organism in Eukaryota, Metazoa, Chordata, Actinopteri, Salmoniformes, Salmonidae. The record is from RefSeq and is a predicted model, not a curated record.